Puntigrus tetrazona (Sumatra barb) is the source of this 256-nucleotide long non-coding RNA. RefSeq lists it as uncharacterized. The transcript has 3 exons. NCBI's taxonomy places the organism in Eukaryota, Metazoa, Chordata, Actinopteri, Cypriniformes, Cyprinidae. The record is from RefSeq and is a predicted model, not a curated record.
CGUCUCCUUCAUUUUCCUUUGUUCUUUCUUGAUGUUGAACCUGUUUGUGGCUGUCAUUAUGGACAACUUUGAAUAUCUGACACGUGACUCCUCCAUCUUGGGCCCUCACCACCUGGAUGAGUUUAUCCGAGUGUGGGCGGAGUAUGACCCAGCCGCAUGUGGCCGUGUCAAGUACCUCGAUAUGUAUGAGAUGCUGCUCCACAUGUCCCCACCUUUAGGUUUGGGAAAGAAAUGCCCUCCACGAAUCGCCUACAAG